GACGAACGCUGGCGGCGUGCUUAACACAUGCAAGUCGAACGGAAAGGCCCUGCUUUUGUGGGGUGCUCGAGUGGCGAACGGGUGAGUAACACGUGAGUAACCUGCCCUUGACUUUGGGAUAACUUCAGGAAACUGGGGCUAAUACCGGAUAGGAGCUCCUGCUGCAUGGUGGGGGUUGGAAAGUUUCGGCGGUUGGGGAUGGACUCGCGGCUUAUCAGCUUGUUGGUGGGGUAGUGGCUUACCAAGGCUUUGACGGGUAGCCGGCCUGAGAGGGUGACCGGCCACAAUGGGACUAAGAGAGGGCGCAGACUGCAACGGGAGGCAGCAGGGGGGAGUAUGACGCAGUGGGCGGAAGCCUGAGGCAGCGACGCCGCGUGCGGGAUGACGGCCUUCGGGUUGUAAACCGCUUUCGCCUGUGACGAAGCGGGAGUGACGGUAAUGGGUAAAGAAGCACCGGCUAACUACGUG
This 468-nucleotide ribosomal RNA is filed under the name uncultured bacterium. RNAcentral's name for it is "partial 16S ribosomal RNA". It matches the Rfam family "Bacterial small subunit ribosomal RNA", at positions 28 to 507 of the family's 1533-position model. The record is from RNAcentral.